AUUGAACGCUGGCGGCAUGCCUUACACAUGCAAGUCGAACGGCAUCGCGGGAACGCUUGCUUUCCUGGCGGCGAGUGGCGCACGGGUGAGUAACACAUCGGAACGUACCGGCUAGUGGGGGAUAACCCGUCGAAAGACGGGCUAAUACCGCAUACGCUCUUCGGAGGAAAGCAGGGGACCUUUGGGCCUUGCGCUAGCCGAGCGGCCGAUGUCCGAUUAGCUAGUUGGUGGGGUAAAGGCCUACCAAGGCGACGAUCGGUAGCGGGUCUGAGAGGACGAUCCGCCACACUGGGACUGAGACACGGCCCAGACUCCUACGGGAGGCAGCAGUGGGGAAUCUUGGACAAUGGGGGCAACCCUGAUCCAGCAAUGCCGCGUGGGUGAAGAAGGCCUUCGGGUUGUAAAGCCCUUUCGGCAGGGAAGAAAUCGGCGGGGCGAAUAACCCUGCUGGAUGACGGUACCUGCAGAAGAAGCACCGGCUAACUACGUG
This 490-nucleotide ribosomal RNA is filed under the name uncultured bacterium. RNAcentral describes it as "partial 16S ribosomal RNA". It matches the Rfam family "Bacterial small subunit ribosomal RNA", at positions 28 to 507 of the family's 1533-position model. The record is from RNAcentral.